Molecule: ribosomal RNA, 497 nt
Filed under: uncultured bacterium
Lineage: Bacteria
Description: partial 16S ribosomal RNA
Rfam family: Bacterial small subunit ribosomal RNA
Source: RNAcentral
GAUGAACGCUGGCGGCGUGCCUAAUACAUGCAAGUCGAGCGAACAGACGAGGAGCUUGCUCCUCUGACGUUAGCGGCGGACGGGUGAGUAAAACGUGGAUAACCUACCUAUAAGACUGGGAUAACUUCGGGAAACCGGAGCUAAUACCGGAUAAUAUAUUGAACCGCAUGGUUCAAUAGUGAAAGACGGUUUUGCUGUCACUUAUAGAUGGAUCCGCGCCUCAUUAGCUAGUUGGUAAGGUAACGGCUUACCAAGGCAACGAUGCGUAGCCGACCUGAGAGUGUGAUCGACCACACUGGAACUGAGACACGGUCCAGACUCCUACGGGAGGCAGCAGUAGGGAAUCUUCCGCAAUGGGCGAAAGCCUGACGGAGCAACGCCGCGUGAGUGAUGAAGGUCUUCGGAUCGUAAAACUCUGUUAUUAGGGAAGAACAAAUGUGUAAGUAACUAUGCACGUCUUGACGGUACCUAAUCAGAAAGCCACGGCUAACUACGUG